CUAGCUAGAGAGGAAUUACCCCCUCCUUAAUGG
This 33-nucleotide transfer RNA is filed under the name Sibirionetta formosa (Baikal teal). RNAcentral describes it as "partial tRNA-Lys". The record is from RNAcentral. Lineage: Eukaryota; Metazoa; Chordata; Aves; Anseriformes; Anatidae.